CAGGCUGCUGUUGCCGUGGGGCCCGCGUUGCUCCGCUGGAAGCCCUCCUGGGUGUGGUUGUGCGUCCUCGUGUUUGGAUCAGGCAGAAGCCGUGCAAUAACUCUGCUACCUGGCCUGCUGUGACGCUGCGCCGGUGAGGUCCAUUUAAACAUUCAUUCAUCGCCACGGCUCCCUGGACGACGCUGCUGUUUUGUGUGGCUCCAUUGUUUGGCUGCUGCUGAUUUUAGGCAGCUGUUUUGGUGUCAUUUAAAAAAAAAUAUUUUUGUUGUUUUCUUUUUUUGGGGGGGUUUUCUGAAUUGAGGUUGGGUCCAGCAUCCCCCUCACAGAGCUGUCAUCAGAGCCCUAAUGCUGGGCUCUCUGGGGGCUGCUGCAUGGGUUUAUUGAUUUGAGGAAAAGCUUGAUUUAUUAAUUUGUUUAUUGUUAAGUGUAAAUUUGAGUUUCUUUGUAUUAUUUUUCAUCGUUUUUGUUUAAUUGUAUUUGAAGAUUUAAUUGGUUAU
Molecule: long non-coding RNA, 497 nt
Filed under: Sparus aurata (gilthead seabream)
Lineage: Eukaryota; Metazoa; Chordata; Actinopteri; Spariformes; Sparidae
Description: lncRNA (ENSSAUG00010015347.1)
Source: RNAcentral